This is a non-coding RNA of Lolium perenne, 1628 nucleotides long. The record is from RefSeq and is a predicted model, not a curated record. Lineage: Eukaryota; Viridiplantae; Streptophyta; Magnoliopsida; Poales; Poaceae.
UCCCAUCGUCACGCAACCCUAGCACCGAGCAGCCCUCCGCCGCCAGUCUCGCCUCCUCGCCCAAGUCGCCUCCCGCUGUCAUCUCCCUGGAAAAGUUCCCGCAGUCUCACCUCCUCGUUGCCGGACUCCCGACCACCGAGCGAAGCGCCGCCUCUAUACUCUCUCCCCAAGAAUCCAGCCACCUCUCCUCUCGGCCUCUCCAGCAUCCACACCUUGGCGACGGCCCUAUCGGCCUCUCCCCCACAUCCGGGGGCCCUCACACCUCCUCCUCCAACGCCUCCGGUCGUCACCGUCUCUACCGCAUGGAUCCGGCGCCAUCGCCUCCCCCUCGACCGUCAGUAAUCCCCCUGCUUGUCCCUGUUCACCACCGCCCGACGCCCUCCAUAGAUCGUGACCAAGAGGAGCAGCACAUACCCUCAAAAAAAGAGGAGCAGCACAGAGUCAAUCUGGGCAUGGAGGCCCAGAUCCGACCUCCCCCUCCCCCUCCUCCUUGCCCCUCUCUCUAAUUCAUUCUCUCAUAUUGCAAAUCAAUUUCAUUCGCGUUUUAGCAAAUCUGUAGCAAUCAGAUUAUUUACCAUGUAAUCCAUUUUUCCGCAGUGAAUUUUAGGUCACUGAUGCACGAAUCGAAGCAUGGUUUCAGUGAAUUUUGGGUCACUGGAUGGGCACUCGUCAAGGCCACAACCGCCGGCGAGCCCGUCGUCGCGGACUCGACGGACUGCUUGGCGGGAUCGGCUCCGGGUUCAGAGCACAUGUACUACUACUUAGCGGUGAGGUUUCAGUGUUGAUUCUUUUGGGGACAAUCACAAUUGUUGCUCUCUUUCACUAACAAAGAUGUGUUGCGAUGACUGCGAGGACACUUGGCACCGUGACGCGAGAUCCAGAUCAUCCACCACCUCUCCGAGCAUCCUCGCCGCUAUGAGGAUGCACUCUUAAUGCAUAUUUUCAUGGAGAUCUGAGGCGGUGGUUGCUCUUUGACCUCAACGUGACCAAGGAGCACUACACCAAGUGUGAUGCCGCGAAGCUCAUCAAGAGAAUCAUUGUGGCUGUGGAGAGAUGCCACUUGGUUGUCGUCAUGCGCAUGGACCUCAAGCAGGAAACUUCUUGUUUGCUGGCACCGCCAAGGACAUGCCACUGAUUUUGGGAUAUCCAUGUUCUAGAAGCCUGGUUUACUUUGGCAUGUUGAUCUUCCUGGGGUCCAUGGUGUACGACCCACAAGAGAUCAUUUAGAGGGCGCACCACGGCGACAUGGACUACAUCAAGCACGCGCUCACCCUCUUCGCUGAUUUCAUCACCGUCCUUGUCAGGAUCCUCAUCAUCAUGCUCAAGAACGCAGGUGACAAGUCAAAAGAAGGCGGGGAGAAGGAGGGGAGGAGGAGGAGGUCUUGAACAUUUCAUUUGCACAUAGUAGAUACUACUGCUACUACCACCAUCACUAAUGGUACCACCACACUACGUAAGAAAGCUGGUGAAGUAACUUGUGUGUGAGGAGGAGGAGGACGGGGAGGAGGAGGUCUUGGAACAUUUCCUCUGCACAUAGUAGAUACUACUGCUACUACCACCAUCCCUACUGGUCUAGAACAUAGGUGUGGAACUUACCGCGAAAGAUUAACAAGACCUAGAACUUAGAA